CAAGCGAUAGUAGGUAGCACGCUUGCCUUGGGAGCAAGUAGUUCAGGUUCAAAUCCUGCCGUUCGG
Molecule: transfer RNA, 66 nt
Filed under: Paenibacillus apis
Lineage: Bacteria; Bacillati; Bacillota; Bacilli; Caryophanales; Paenibacillaceae
Description: tRNA-Pro
Source: RNAcentral